AUGGAUCCAAGCAACAGUCUAACAACUUCAAAACUCCGAUGCAAUUUUGACGCAAGUCCGGUAAUCCUUAUCUCUCUCCCAUCACUUAUAUUCUUUCUUCUUCUUACUUCGUUUGCGUUUCUCCGGGACCUCUUCUUGCGUGUUUUCGAUAGCGAGCAAUUGUUGCUUAUGGAUUCGUCGCAGUUUGAACGAAGGAUGUUGAAUGUUGCAAAUUUGUGA
Molecule: non-coding RNA, 219 nt
Organism: Vicia faba (fava bean)
Lineage: Eukaryota; Viridiplantae; Streptophyta; Magnoliopsida; Fabales; Fabaceae
Source: the annotation of a GenBank genome assembly